This 391-nucleotide ribosomal RNA is filed under the name uncultured bacterium. RNAcentral describes it as "partial 16S ribosomal RNA". It matches the Rfam family "Bacterial small subunit ribosomal RNA", at positions 523 to 918 of the family's 1533-position model. The record is from RNAcentral.
AUACGGAAGGUCCGGGCGUUAUCCGGAUUUAUUGGGUUUAAAGGGAGCGCAGGCGGAGAUGCAAGCGUGACGUCAAAUUUCGGGGCUCAACCCCGUCUCGCGUCGCGAACUGCGUCCCUUGGUUGCGGGAAGGGGAGGCGGAACUCGUGGUGUAGCGGUGAAAUGCAUAGAUAUCACGAAGAACGCCGAUAGCGGAGGCAGCUCGCCAGGCCUGCAUUGACGCUCGGGCACGAAAGCGUGGGGAUCGAACAGGAUUAGAUACCCUGGUAGUCCACGCCGUAAACGAUGGGCGCUCGUCGUCGGCGGCAGACAGUCGGCGGCCAAGCGAAAGCGAUAAGCGCCCCACCUGGGGAGUACGGUCGCAAGGCUGAACUCAAAUGAAUUGGCGGGG